GGCGACGUGGCCGAGUGGUUAGGCACAGCUCUGCAAAAGCUGCUACACCGGUUCGAUUCCGGUCGUCGCCU
RNAcentral lists this transfer RNA (71 nucleotides) under bacterium. RNAcentral describes it as "tRNA-Cys". It matches the Rfam family "tRNA". From Rfam's summary of the family: Transfer RNA (tRNA) molecules are approximately 80 nucleotides in length. Their secondary structure includes four short double-helical elements and three loops (D, anti-codon, and T loops). The record is from RNAcentral. RNAcentral also lists the same sequence under 2 other names.